UUGCCGUUGGUUCACCCUCCAAUGGCUGCUGCGGCUGGCGCGCUGCGGCCGGCGCACUGCACUGAUCCGAUGGCAGGAGCCAGGUGCUUCUCCUGGUCUCCCAUGGGGUGCAGGGCCCAAGCACUUGGGCCAUCCUCCACUGCCUUCCCGGGCCACAGCAGAGAGCUGGCCUGGAAGAGGGGCAACUGGGACAGAAUCUGGCGCCCCGACUGGGACUAGAACCCAGUGUGCCCGCGCCGCAAGGCGGAGGAUUAGCCUAGUGAGCCGCGGCGCCGGCCCUGUUUUUUAAUUUUAUUUUCGUUUUUUAAAGAUUUAUUUUAUUUAUUUGAAAGAGUUACACAGAGAGGUAGAGAGAGAGAGAGAGAGAGAGAGAGAGAUCUUCCAUUUUGCUGGUUCACCCUCCAGAUGGCCACAAUGGCCAGAGCUGAGCUGAUCCAAAGCCAGGAGCCAGGAGCUUCUUCUGGGUCUCCCACGUGGGUGCAGGGCCUAAGGACUUGGGCCAUCUUCUACUGCUUUCCCAGGCCACAGCAGAGAGCUGGAUCAGAAGUGGAGCAGCCGGGACUCCAACCGGCGCCCAUAUGGGAUGCCGGUGCCACAGGCUGGGGCUUUAACCCGCUGUGCCACAGCGCCGGCCCUGGCCCCUGUUUAUUUUAUUUUGGUUAUGGAUACUUUUUACAGCUGAUGUAAGUAGCAGGGUAUGAUUAAAUUUCCUUCAUAAUAAUUAGCUUCCUUUUCCUGCAGUUUUCAGUCACAUCAUAUUCUCUUGUUUAGUUUUCUACACGUCCAUCAGCAGCUCCUCCCAGCCCCUUGCCCAGGAUUUCAUCGCUCCACCUGGGCUUCAGUGUGUGUCAGUUGCCCAAAAGCCCCAAGGCAGGGGCUUCCCUAUACCUACUCUGAGCCUGGUGUCCUACUUUUGGUGCAUUUCUCUCUCUCUCUCUCUUUUUAAGAUUUAUUAUUUAUUUAAAGGUAGAGACACAGAAGGGGGCGGGGAGAGAAAGAGAGAUCUUCUCUCUGCUAGUUCACUCCCCAAAUGGCCACAAUGGUUAGGACUGGGCCAGGCUGAAGCCAGGAGCCUCUUUGGGGUCUCCCACAUGGGUGCAGGGGCCCACAUACUUGGGCCAUCAGCUGCUGCUUUCCCAGGUGCGUUAGCAGGGAGCCAGAUUGGAAGUGGAGCAACUGGGACCUGAACCGGCGCCCACAUGGAUGCUGACACUGCAGGCAGAGGCUGACUCUUCCGCACCAUAGCGCUGGCCCCAGCAUGCCUCUCUCUGUAUCCUGAGUCCUCUGGGGAGUGGUCCGUCUGAAGUGUGACCUCACGAGGAUUUCCCAGGUCAAGCAUCCAGAGCCCCAUUGCGCUAAUUCAGCUGUGCGGCGCUUGCGGUCGUGGUCCUGUCAGUGUCCACUCUGGCCCUGUCUCCACUUUCUUGGCUCUGAGUUUCCACUUUUCCAUCCCUGUGCGUCUUCCCUGACGCUGGUGUCUGUUUCUGGAGGUGCUUUUCCAGUGAACUUUUGGGAAGGAAUGAAGGCAGACUCCUGUGUGAGGUCUGCGUGCUGGACUGCACUUAGGCCCCACUCUGUUCUCACGUCCCACUUAUCAGUCCAUCCUCACAGGCCUGGGCGCAUGUGUACUUGUCUCCCUGGAUUCCCUAGUCCAUGAGAGGACGGCGGAUGUGCCCGUGUCCAAGCUGGGAGUCGCAGGGCCACGGUGCAGCCUCUGCCCUUUCUCGUCUCGUGCUGGGAUGCAGUCUGUGAAUUCUGUCAACAGAUGGUUUGGUUUAGCCUUUCUCCUAGUGAGUUCAUGUGUGUAAGUUUCCAUAUUGACCUGAAAUUAACUUUUGGAACUAGAGGAUUCCUAUAAUGUUGUUGCACUGUGGUCGUUAGGCAGAUGCUGCCCUGUGUUAGCAGUAUUGCCACACACUGGACCUCAGACUACACAGGUUACUUCUCAUGUGCCUGACUUGCAGCAAGAUCUAGUUUUUGUGCUGGGAACGUUGAGUUCAUUCUCUUGGGUGAAGGUUAGUCGUGCUUUCUUAGCAUCCUAAGCCCUGCUGUGGCAUCUGAGGUAGGUAGUGGAGGCAUGGCCUGAUGAUGCAGGGGGCUAAGCCGCCACUUGAGAUGUUGGCAUUCCAUAUCAGAGUGCCACUUGGAGUCCUGGCUAGGUCGCUUUUUUUUUUUUUUUAAAGUUAUUUAUUUGAAACACAGAGUUACAGAGAGGCAGAGGCAGAGAGAGAGAGAGGUGUCUUCCAUGCACUGGUUCACUCCCCAAAUGGCCGCAGUGGCUGGAGCUGGGCCAAUCUGAAGCCAGGAGCCAAGAGUUUCUUCGGGUCUCCCACAUGGGUGCAGGGGCCCAAGGACUUGGGCCAUCUUCCUCUGUUUUCCCAGGCCACAGCAGAGAGCUUGAUCAGAAAUGGAGCAGUGGGGACCUGAACUGGCGCCCCAUGGGAUGCCAGCGCUGCAGGCGGCUUUACCCUCUACGCCGCAGUGCUGGCUCCAGGCUUACACGUUACGUCCGAGGACUGUGGAAUCAGAGCCUGCUCUUCUGCUGUAGCGCCGCUGCUCGCUCUUUUGCUCAGCAAGUGUGUGUGAUGCUCACUGGGCAGUUCCAGGUGCUGGGGACUGAGUGCUAGCAGGACCGACCCGCUUCCUGGCCUUCCUCGCGAUGUUAGCACGCAGUCUGCAGUAGGCGCAGACCAUCAGAAGUCCUGGCAAGGAAAGGCAGGGGUGGUGUGCCGGUUGUGUAACAGGGAGCCCGACCUACAUAGCAGAGCUUCCCCAGGGAAAUGCUUUUCUUUUGAGCUGACGUUCUGAAACUAAGUAGAAAUCAGCAAGGCGAAGGUGGGAGAAGAAGGAGCCUCCAGGUGGAGGCUGGUGUGGAGAGGCCUGACGCGGCGAAGGGGCUUUGAGGGGCCUGGAGCUUGUAUCUGGAGGAGGCUGUUGGUCUGCAUUCCUGGAGCACCUGGAAGGCGCUGAAGGGUUUGAGCAGAGAAGGAUGCCUCGUACGAUUUAGUGUUCUAGGGCCGGCGCUGUGGUGUAGCAGGUUAAGCUGCUGCCUGCGAUGCCGGCAUCCCACAUGGGCUUUGGUUUGAGUCGUGGCUGCUCCAUUUCUCGUCCAGAUCCUUGCGGAUGCUCCUGGGAAAGCAGCGGAAGCUGCCCAAGUCCUUGGGCUCCUGCCACCCAUGUGGGAGACCUGGAUGAAGCUCCUGACUCCUGACUUCAGCGUGGCCCAGCCCUGGCCAUUGCAGCCAUUUGGAGAAUGAGCCAGUGGAUGGAAGGUCUCUUCCCUCCCCUACACCCCCAUCUCCGCCUUGUAACUGCCUUUCAAAUAAAUCAAUAAAUGUUAGCGUUUCACAGCAUGCCUCAGUUUGGAGGGGUUGAGUGUGUGAGGGGGCUCAGCUGGGAGGCCGGUGCAGUGUUUGGCUGGACUGGCGAUUGCUUGGAGUAGGAGUGCUCGAGGAGGUGCAGCCCUAGCCCUCAGGUUCCUGCGCGAGGCUUGAGGGUCUGGGCCCGCUGGUGGUCCUGCGCCGCAGCAGUGCUUCUCAAUCCUGUCUGAGUUCCUGGGGGAGCUUGUUCCACCUGAGGGGUCCUGGCGAGGCCCGGAGCCCUUGGUGCUGACUCAGGUGAGCCCUGCGAGCAGCAGGAGGUGGGGACUCCCGGGUGAUUCCAGCCGCUGUGUGGCUGAGAACGCGGCUGUCACUCUUUCUCUCAAGCAGGUGGGGACGUUGAAUGUGGAGCAGGUUUGUGUGUUUGCUUUAGUUAAAGGCAGAGAAAGAGAAUAUCUCUGGAAUCUGCUGCUUCAUCUCCCAGAUGCCCACAAUAGCCAGGGCUGGGCUGAGCUUCCAGGGGCUUGAACUGAAUCCAGGUCUCCCAUGUGGGUGACAGGGACCCAAGCCCUGAACCAUUCCCUACCGCCUUUCAGAAUUUGCUCUAGCAGGAAGCUGGUCAGAAGCAGAGGAGCCAGGACCAGGCUCUGAGGUGGGGAUUUUUUUUUUUUUUAAUAUUUAUGUAAAAGGCAGAGGGACAGAGAGGAAGAGACAUGGAGAAAGAGACCUUCUUUCUUUGGUUCACCCCCUAAAGUGGCCAUGAAGGUGGGGCUGGCAUAGGCUGAAGCCAAGAGCCGGGAAGUCCAUCUAGGUCUUCCGUGUGGGUGGCAGGGGCUCAAGUACUUGGGCCAUCUUCUGCUGUCUUCUCAGUGCAUUGGCAGGGAACUGGAUUGGAAGCAGAGCAACUGGAACUCACGUGGUGUAUGACAUGGGGUGCAGCUGCACAAGCAGUGGCUUACUCCACUGCACCACAACACUGCUUACCCAGGCAGCAUCUUUAACUGCUCUGACAGACACCGGCCCAGCGGAGCAGAUGUUCAACAUCUCUCUCUGCUGAUAGUGGCCUGCUCCUAUAAACCAGGAGGCCUGUUCCUGUAGAGAAAGAGGUCCCUUGUUCCUGCAGACCAGGAGGUCCUUGUUCCUGUAGACCAGGCACCUGUUCCUGUAGACCAGGAGGUCCCUGUUCUUGUAGACCAGGAGGUCCCUUGUUCCUGUAGACCAGAAGGUCCUUGUUCCUGUAGACCAGGAGGUCCUUGUUCCUGUAGACCAGGCACCUGUUCCUGUAGACCAGGAUGCCUGUUCCUGUAGACCAGGAUGCCUGUUCCUGUAGACCAGGAGGUCCUUGUUCCUGUAGACCAGGAGGUCCCUGUUCCUGUAGACCAGGAUGCCUGUUCCUGUAGACCAGGAAUCCUUGUUCCUGUAGACCAGGAAUACUUGUUCCUGUAGACCAGGAUGCCUGUUCCUGUAGACCAGGAAUCCUUGUUCCUGUAGACCAGGAAUCCUUGUUCCUGUAGACCAGGAUGCCUGUUCCUGUAGACCAGGAGGUCCUUGUUCCUGUAGACCAGGAGGUCCUUGACCUGUAGACCAGGAGGUCCUUGUUCCUGUAGACCAGGAUGCCUGUUCCUGUAGACCAGGAGGUCCUUGUUCCUGUAGACCAGGAGGUCCCUGUUCCUGUAGACCAGGAUGCCUGUUCCUGUAGACCAGGAAUCCUUGUUCCUGUAGACCAGGAAUACUUGUUCCUGUAGACCAGGAUGCCUGUUCCUGUAGACCAGGAAUCCUUGUUCCUGUAGACCAGGAAUCCUUGUUCCUGUAGACCAGGAUGCCUGUUCCUGUAGACCAGGAGGUCCUUGUUCCUGUAGACCAGGAGGUCCUUGACCUGUAGACCAGGAGGUCCUUGUUCCUGUAGACCAGGAUGCCUGUUCCUGUAGACCAGGAGGUCCUUGUUCCUGUAGACCAGGAGGUCCUUGUUCCUGUAGACCAGGUGGUCCUUGACCUGUAGACCAGAGGGUCCCUGUUCCUGUAGACCAGACGCCUGUUCCUGUAGACCAGGAGGUCCUUGUUCCUGUAGACCAGGAGGUCCUUGUUCCUGUAGACCAGGAUGCCUGUUCCUGUAGACCAGGAAUCCUUGUUCCUGUAGACCAGGAAUCCUUGUUCCUGUAGACCAGGAUGCCUGUUCCUGUAGACCAGGAUGCCUGUUCCUGUAGACCAGGAGGUCCUUGUUCCUGUAGACCAGGAGGUCCUUGACCUGUAGACCAGGAGGUCCUUGUUCCUGUAGACCAGGAUGCCUGUUCCUGUAGACCAGGAUGCCUGUUCCUGUAGACCAGGAGGUCCUUGUUCCUGUAGACCAGGAGGUCCUUGUUCCUGUAGACCAGGAGGUCCUUGUUCCUGUAGACCAGGAGGUCCUUGUUCCUGUAGAGCAGGAGGUCCUUGUUCCUGUAGACCAGGAUGCCUGUUCCUGUAGACCAGGAGGUCCCUGUUCCUGUAGACCAGGAUGCCUGUUCCUGUAGACCAGGAGGUCCCUGUUCCUGUAGACCAGGAGGUCCCUGUUCCUGUAGACCAGGAGGUCCCUGUUCCUGUAGACCAGGAUGCCUGUUCCUGUAGACCAGGAGGUCCCUGUUCUUGUAGACCAGGAUGCCUGUUCCUGGAGACCAGGAAGUCCCUGUUCCUGUAGACCAGGAGGUCCCUGUUCCUGAAGACCAGGAGGUCCUUGUUCCUGUAGACCAGGAGGUCCUUGUUCCUGUAGACCAGGCACCUGUUCAUGUAGACCAGGAGGUCCUUGUUCCUAUAGACCAGAAUGCCUGUUCCUGUAGACCAGGAGGUCCUUGUUCCUGUAGACCAGGAGGUCCCUGUUCCUGUAGACCAGGAGGUCCUUGUUCCUGUAGAGCAGGAGGUCCUUGUUCCUGUAGACCAGGAUGCCUGUUCCUGUAGACCAGGAGGUCCCUGUUCCUGUAGACCAGGAUGCCUGUUCCUGUAGACCAGGAGGUCCCUGUUCCUGUAGACCAGGAGGUCCUUGUUCCUGUAGACCAGGAGGUCCUUGUUCCUGUAGACCAGGUGGUCCUUGUUCCUGUAGACCAGGUGGUCCUUGACCUGUAGACCAGAGGGUCCCUGUUCCUGUAGACCAGGAGGUCCUUGUUCCUGUAGAGCAGGAGGUCCUUGUUCCUGUAGACCAGGAUGCCUGUUCCUGUAGACCAGGAGGUCCUUGUUCCUGUAUACCAGGAUGCCUGUUCCUGUAGACCAGGAGGUCCCUGUUACUGUAGACCAGGAGGUCCUUGUUCCUGUAGACCAGAUGCCUGUUCCUGUAGACCAGGAUGCCUGUUCCUGAAGACCAGGAGGUCCUUGUUCCUGUAGACCAGGAGGUCCUUGUUCCUGUAGACCAGGAUGCCUGUUCCUGUAGACCAGGAGGUCCUUGUUCCUGUAGACCAGGAUGCCUGUUCCUGUAGACCAGGAUGCCUGUUCCUGUAGACCAGGAGGUCCUUGUUCCUGUAGACCAGGAGGUCCUUGACCUGUAGACCAGGAGGUCCUUUUUCCUGUAGACCAGAUGCCUGUUCCUGUAGACCAGGAGGUCCUUGUUCCUGUAGACCAGGAUGGCUGUUCCUGUAGACCAGGAGGUCCUUGUUCCUGUAGAGCAGGAGGUCCUUGUUCCUGUAGACCAGGAUGCCUGUUCCUGUAGACCAGGAGGUCCCUGUUCCUGUAGACCAGGAUGCCUGUUCCUGUAGACCAGGAGGUCCCUGUUCCUGUAGACCAGGAUGCCUGUUCCUGUAGACCAGGAGGUCCCUGUUCCUGUAGACCAGGAGGUCCUUGUUCCUGUAGAGCAGGAGGUCCUUGUUCCUGUAGACCAGGAUGCCUGUUCCUGUAGACCAGGAGGUCCCUGUUCCUGUAGACCAGGAUGCCUGUUCCUGUAGACCAGGAGGUCCCUGUUCCUGUAGACCAGGAGUUCCUUGUUCCUGUAGACCAGGAGGUCCUUGUUCCUGUAGACCAGGUGGUCCUUGUUCCUGUAGACCAGGUGGUCCUUGACCUGUAGACCAGAGGGUCCCUGUUCCUGUAGACCAGGAGGUCCUUGUUCCUGUAGAGCAGGAGGUCCUUGUUCCUGUAGACCAGGAUGCCUGUUCCUGUAGACCAGGAGGUCCUUGUUCCUGUAUACCAGGAUGCCUGUUCCUGUAGACCAGGAGGUCCUUGUUCCUGUAGACCAGAUGCCUGUUCCUGUAGACCAGGAUGCCUGUUCCUGAAGACCAGGAGGUCCUUGUUCCUGUAGACCAGGAGGUCCUUGUUCCUGUAGACCAGGAUGCCUGUUCCUGUAGACCAGGAGGUCCUUGUUCCUGUAGACCAGGAUGCCUGUUCCUGUAGACCAGGAUGCCUGUUCCUGUAGACCAGGAGGUCCUUGUUCCUGUAGACCAGGAGGUCCCUGUUCCUGUAGA
Molecule: non-coding RNA, 7735 nt
Organism: Oryctolagus cuniculus (rabbit)
Lineage: Eukaryota; Metazoa; Chordata; Mammalia; Lagomorpha; Leporidae
Source: RefSeq, a predicted model, not a curated record